Arabidopsis suecica is the source of this 104-nucleotide non-coding RNA. The record is from the annotation of a GenBank genome assembly. NCBI's taxonomy places the organism in Eukaryota, Viridiplantae, Streptophyta, Magnoliopsida, Brassicales, Brassicaceae.
CAUAGUGAUGAAUUAUAUCACAAUUGUCACUACCUCUGAGGCAUAUUCUUCAACAUAGUUUUGUUUUGUUAUUGCUUGCCUACAUUUGAUUUUAUAGCCUGGUG